Molecule: small nuclear RNA, 277 nt
Filed under: Marmota marmota marmota (Alpine marmot)
Lineage: Eukaryota; Metazoa; Chordata; Mammalia; Rodentia; Sciuridae
Description: 7SK RNA (ENSMMMG00000022250.1)
Rfam family: 7SK RNA
About the family: 7SK was discovered as an abundant small nuclear RNA in the mid-70s but a possible function has only recently been suggested. Two independent studies have found that 7SK RNA binds the CDK9/cyclin T complex (known as elongation factor P-TEFb).
Source: RNAcentral
AGAUUUAAGAUCUGGCUGCAAUGUGUGUCAUCUCAGACACCCCACUGAUUCCCAGGAUUGAUUUGGCUGAUGUGGUUGGCUAGGAGGUGUCCCCCACCUCCCUUAUUGCUCCAUAUGUGUCCCUCACAAAGCUGUGCACUCCAUUGAAGACAACUAUUCUUUGGUCAAGGUUUUAUGAAUAGCUGUGCUCCCUUGCUAGAAUUUCCAAACAAAAUCUCAUAUAAUAUAUAUAAUAUAUUAUAUAUAAUAUAGAAUAACUACAUAUAAGUACCUAUAU